Molecule: ribosomal RNA, 499 nt
Filed under: Cryptosporidium ditrichi
Lineage: Eukaryota; Apicomplexa; Conoidasida; Eucoccidiorida; Cryptosporidiidae
Description: SSU rRNA
Rfam family: Eukaryotic small subunit ribosomal RNA
Source: RNAcentral
AUUGGAGGGCAAGUCUGGUGCCAGCAGCCGCGGUAAUUCCAGCUCCAAUAGCGUAUAUUAAAGUUGUUGCAGUUAAAAAGCUCGUAGUUGGAUUUCUGUUAAUAAUUUAUAUAUAAUAUUUAACGUAUUUAUAUAAUAUUAACAUAAUUCAUAUUACUAUUCUGUAGUAUAUGAAAUUUUACUUUGAGAAAAUUAGAGUGCUUAAAGCAGGCUUAUGCCUUGAAUACUAGAGCAUGGAAUAAUAUUAAAGAUUUUUAUCUUUCUUUAUUGGUUCUAAGAUAGAAAUAAUGAUUAAUAGGGACAGUUGGGGGCAUUUGUAUUUAACAGUUAGAGGUGAAAUUCUUAGAUUUGUUAAAGACAAACUAAUGCGAAAGCAUUUGCCAAGGAUGUUUUCAUUAAUCAAGAACGAAAGUUAGGGGAUCGAAGACGAUCAGAUACCGUCGUAGUCUUAACCAUAAACUAUGCCAACUAGAGAUUGGAGGUUGUUCCUUACUCCUUC